AUACGAAGGGGGCUAGCGUUGUUCGGAAUUACUGGGCGUAAAGCGCGUGUAGGCGGAUCGUUAAGUCAGGGGUGAAAGCCCGGGGCUCAACCCCGGAACUGCCCUUGAUACUGGCGAUCUAGAGUCCGGAAGAGGUGGGCGGAAUUCCCGGUGUAGAGGUGAAAUUCGUAGAUAUCGGGAGGAACACCAGUGGCGAAGGCGGCUCACUGGUCCGGUACUGACGCUGAGACGCGAAAGCGUGGGGAGCAAACAGGAUUAGAAACCCUUGUAGUCC
Molecule: ribosomal RNA, 274 nt
Filed under: uncultured bacterium
Lineage: Bacteria
Description: partial 16S ribosomal RNA
Rfam family: Bacterial small subunit ribosomal RNA
Source: RNAcentral